GCGGGUGUGGCGGAAUGGUAGACGCGAGGGUCUCAAACACCCUUUCCUCACGGAGUGUCGGUUCGAGUCCGACCACCCGCACCA
This 84-nucleotide transfer RNA is filed under the name Aliiroseovarius crassostreae. RNAcentral describes it as "tRNA-Leu". It matches the Rfam family "tRNA". From Rfam's summary of the family: Transfer RNA (tRNA) molecules are approximately 80 nucleotides in length. The record is from RNAcentral. RNAcentral also lists the same sequence under 2 other names. Lineage: Bacteria; Pseudomonadati; Pseudomonadota; Alphaproteobacteria; Rhodobacterales; Paracoccaceae.